CAAAUGUUUGGAACAGUUGGACUUAUCUGGGAACUCUCUUGAAGAGAUGCCCCAGGGUAUGUGUCUGCCCUCCUUGCUCAAACUGGACCUAAGCAACAAUGACCUGGAGGAUGUCACCACACUUGAAUCGUUGGAGGAGCUGAAAGUUGAGGAUAACCUAUACCUUACAGUCAAUGACAACUACAAGCUGAUGGUGCUCCUGCCUAAAAUGAGGGUUUAUAAUGGGAAGGACAUUAGCACCACAGCCAACCAAGGUUUUCGCCGGGGAAAACCUUAGGACCAGGGUGCUGGCCGUGUGGGAGAGUGAUGUCAUCCCUUCUAGGUGGCGGCCAUAUGAGAUUGUCCAUCAAGUCCACUCCGGCCCAAAGACCAGUUUAGACUACACAUUUUGUCAAGUUUACAUUGUAACAAUAUUUGAAGGAGUUUUUCUGUGUAUAUUUUGUGCGUGACCAUAUUUCUAUUCUUUCCUUUAUCAGACUCCCAAAAGAAAACACUGGAAGUACAUCUCCAUUACAGCAAGCCCACGUGAUGCAGUGCAGUAAUAAUCAUCAAGUAGUAACCAUCAAAAAGCAAUACCAAAUGAAACACAAAAUGAUAACUUUAUUGAGAAUAACAUUAAGUCAAGCAUCUGUGAUAUGAAAAAAAAAGUCUGAGGAAAGGGUGGUGUGCAACUGCUGACAUCAUAAGUGUGUAUGUCU
Osmerus eperlanus (European smelt) is the source of this 698-nucleotide long non-coding RNA. RefSeq lists it as uncharacterized. The transcript has 3 exons. Lineage: Eukaryota; Metazoa; Chordata; Actinopteri; Osmeriformes; Osmeridae. The record is from RefSeq and is a predicted model, not a curated record.